GCUGGGCAUGGUGGCGCGUGCCUGUAAUCCCAGCUACCCAGGAGGCUGAGGCAGGAGAAUCACUUGAGCCCAGGUGGUGGAGGUUGCAGUGAGCCAAGAUCGUGCCACUGCACUCCAGCCUGGGCGACAGAGUAAGACUCUGUCUAAA
Unclassified non-coding RNA from Macaca fascicularis (crab-eating macaque), 148 nucleotides. It matches the Rfam family "Metazoan signal recognition particle RNA". Rfam says of the family: The signal recognition particle (SRP) is a universally conserved ribonucleoprotein. It is involved in the co-translational targeting of proteins to membranes. NCBI's taxonomy places the organism in Eukaryota, Metazoa, Chordata, Mammalia, Primates, Cercopithecidae. The record is from Ensembl.